UACGUAGGGUGCAAGCGUUGUCCGGAAUUAUUGGGCGUAAAGAGCUCGUAGGCGGUCUGUCGCGUCGAAUGUGAAAACCCGGGGCUCAACCCCGGGCCUGCAUUCGAUACGGGCAGACUAGAGUUCGGUAGGGGAGUCUGGAAUUCCUGGUGUAGCGGUGAAAUGCGCAGAUAUCAGGAGGAACACCGGUGGCGAAGGCGGGACUCUGGGCCGAUACUGACGCUGAGGAGCGAAAGCGUGGGGAG
Molecule: ribosomal RNA, 245 nt
Filed under: uncultured Nakamurella sp.
Lineage: Bacteria; Bacillati; Actinomycetota; Actinomycetes; Nakamurellales; Nakamurellaceae
Description: partial 16S ribosomal RNA
Rfam family: Bacterial small subunit ribosomal RNA
Source: RNAcentral